Molecule: ribosomal RNA, 969 nt
Filed under: Labidoglobus sp. JP-2017
Lineage: Eukaryota; Metazoa; Arthropoda; Insecta; Coleoptera; Staphylinidae
Description: eukaryotic LSU rRNA
Rfam family: Eukaryotic large subunit ribosomal RNA
Source: RNAcentral
UAGUAACGGCGAGCGAACAGGGAAGAGCCCAGCACUGAAUCGCGCGACCUCACGGUCGCUGCGAAAUGUAGUGUGUGGGAGAGCCCACUAUUCCGUGAAUUAGCAUUACGUCCAAGUCCUUCUUGAACGGGGCCAUUUACCCACAGAGGGUGCCAGGCCCGUAGUGACUAUUGCUUAUUGCGGAAGGGUUUCUCCUUAGAGUCAGGUUGCUUGAGAGUGCAGCCCCAAGCAGAUGGUAAACUCCAUCUAAGGCUAAAUAUAACCACGAGACCGAUAGCGAACAAGUACCGUGAGGGAAAGUUGAAAAGAACUUUGAAGAGAGAGUUCAAUAGUACGUGAAACCGUUUGAGGGUAAGCCUGAGAAACCCGAAAGGUCGAACGAGGAGAUUCAGUGUGUUUUGUCGGGUACGAGUGCCGAUUGCAAGACAGGGACGGUUCGCCGUUGCUGCUUCCUUCGUUGCGCCGUUGCUUGUCGAACGCAUGCACUUCUCCUCCAGUAGGACGUCACGACCUGUUGGGCGUCGGUCCAAGGGUUACGGUGGAGCUCGUUCAGUCCUGCAACUGCUCGAACCCGUAAUGUCCCGACCGACUACUCGACGGUACAGUAUUGGUGCAAAGCCGCGAUUUAAGCGCGUCUGACCCGAUGCAAGCGUGAAUGGUUAUUUGAUGGUCGGACUCGUGCCGUCCUCAAAGCUGUUCAGCUGUUUGUGUCGGUGCUCUCAGACAGACUUUGAUCACCUGUCUGUGACGCAAUAGCUUUGGGUGGUUUCAGGACCCGUCUUGAAACACGGACCAAGGAGUCUAGCAUGUGUGCGAGUCAUUGGGACUUGAUAAUCCCAAAGGCACAAUGAAAGCGAAGGCAGAGUUUGGCUCAGCCAAGGGAAGAUGGGUGACUUCGGUCGCCCCGCAUUCCCAGGGCGUCUCAUUCACAUUGCGUGAUGAAGCGCACCCAGAGCAUACAUGCUGGGA